GCAGAACGCGAAGAACCUUACCAGGGUUUGACAUCCCAAGAAUUAUGCCGAAAGGCGUGAGUGCUUUAUUGAACUUGGUGACAGGUGAUGCAUGGCCGUCGUCAGCUCGUGUCGUGAGAUGUUUGGUUAAGUCCAUCAACGAGCGCAACCCUUGUGAAUAGUUGAAUUUUUUCUAUUCAGACUGCCCCGGCAACGGGGAGGAAGGAGGGGAUGAUGUCAGGUCAGUAUGGCCCUUACGCCUAGGGCUGCACACGUACUACAAUGCCCAGCACAAUGAGAACCGAUACCGCGAGGUGGAGGAAAUCUGCAAAACUGGGCCCAGUUCGGAUUGGAGGCUGCAACUCGCCUCCAUGAAGUUGGAAUCGCUAGUAAUGGCGCAUCAUCUACGGCGCCGUGAAUACGUUCCCGGGUCUUGUACACACCG
This 424-nucleotide ribosomal RNA is filed under the name uncultured bacterium. RNAcentral's name for it is "bacterial SSU rRNA". It matches the Rfam family "Bacterial small subunit ribosomal RNA", at positions 954 to 1392 of the family's 1533-position model. The record is from RNAcentral.